GACGAACGCUGGCGGCGUGCUUAACACAUGCAAGUCGAACGGAAAGGCCCUGCUUUUGUGGGGUGCUCGAGUGGCGAACGGGUGAGUAACACGUGAGUAACCUGCCCUUGACUUUGGGAUAACUUCAGGAAACUGGGGCUAAUACCGGAUAGGAGCUCCUGCUGCAUGGUGGGGGUUGGAAAGUUUCGGCGGUUGGGGAUGGACUCGCGGCUUAUCAGCUUGUUGGCGGGGUAGUGGCUUACCAAGGCUUUGACGGGUAGCCGGCCUGAGAGGGUGACCGGCCACAUUGGGACUGAGAAACGGCCCAGACUCCUACGGGAGGCAGCAGGGGGGAAUAUUGCACAAUGGGCGGAAGCCUGAUGCAGCAACGCCGCGUGCGGGAUGACGGCCUUCGGGUUGUAAACCGCUUUCGCCUGUGACGAAGCGGGAGUGACGGUAAUGGGUAAAGAAGCACCGGCUAACUACGUG
Molecule: ribosomal RNA, 468 nt
Filed under: uncultured bacterium
Lineage: Bacteria
Description: partial 16S ribosomal RNA
Rfam family: Bacterial small subunit ribosomal RNA
Source: RNAcentral